UGUUUAACCAAGGGGUGCUCUAGCUGAGAUCCAUACUAUUGGAAACCCUUACUACCUGAUCCGGAUAAUACCGGCGUAGGAAUGGUCAUCAAGAACUUC
RNAcentral lists this non-coding RNA (99 nucleotides) under Aliiglaciecola lipolytica. Its description in RNAcentral is "TPP sequence". It matches the Rfam family "TPP riboswitch aptamer (THI element)". From Rfam's summary of the family: Vitamin B(1) in its active form thiamin pyrophosphate (TPP) is an essential coenzyme that is synthesised by coupling of pyrimidine and thiazole moieties in bacteria. The previously detected thiamin-regulatory element, thi box was extended, resulting in a new, highly conserved RNA secondary structure, the THI element, which is widely distributed in eubacteria and also occurs in some archaea. Lineage: Bacteria; Pseudomonadati; Pseudomonadota; Gammaproteobacteria; Alteromonadales; Alteromonadaceae. RNAcentral also lists the same sequence under 1 other name. The record is from RNAcentral.